Molecule: small nucleolar RNA, 133 nt
Organism: Pseudophryne corroboree (corroboree frog)
Lineage: Eukaryota; Metazoa; Chordata; Amphibia; Anura; Myobatrachidae
Product: small nucleolar RNA SNORA68
Exons: 1
Source: RefSeq, a predicted model, not a curated record
AGUGCACACAAAACCCAAAGAUUAUUAGAGUAUUGUGUAAUAAUCUUGUCUGGUGUGCAUAAAUUAUAUUGGUACCUUGUCGCCUUUCAAGAGCUGAUAUGCCCAUGGAAGUGAAACUGAAGGUCCUACAGAU